Molecule: ribosomal RNA, 460 nt
Filed under: uncultured bacterium
Lineage: Bacteria
Description: partial 16S ribosomal RNA
Rfam family: Bacterial small subunit ribosomal RNA
Source: RNAcentral
CCUACGGGAGGCAGCAGUGAGGAAUAUUGGUCAAUGGGCGAGAGCCUGAACCAGCCAAGUCGCGUGAAGGAUGAAGGCUCUAUGGUUUGUAAACUUCUUUUAUAUGGGAAUAAAGUGAGGAACGUGUUCCUUUUUUUAUGUACCAUAUGAAUAAGCAUCGGCUAACUCCGUGCCAGCAGCCGCGGUAAUACGGAGGAUGCGGGCGUUAUCCGGAUUUAUUGGGUUUAAAGGGUGCGUAGGUGGGUAAUUAAGUAAGUGGGGAAAGUUUGUGGCUCAACCGUAAAAUUGCCGUUGAAACUGGUUGACUUGAGUAUAUUUGAGGUAGGCGGAAUGCGUGGUGUAGCGGUGAAAUGCAUAGAUAUCACGAAGAACUCCGAUUGCGAAGGCAGCUUACUAAACUAUAACUGACACUGAAGCACGAAAGCGUGGGGAUCAAACAGGAUUAGAUACCCUGGUAGUC